RNAcentral lists this ribosomal RNA (468 nucleotides) under uncultured bacterium. RNAcentral describes it as "partial 16S ribosomal RNA". It matches the Rfam family "Bacterial small subunit ribosomal RNA", at positions 28 to 507 of the family's 1533-position model. The record is from RNAcentral.
GACGAACGCUGGCGGCGUGCUUAACACAUGCAAGUCGAACGGAAAGGCCCUGCUUUUGUGGGGUGCUCGAGUGGCUAACGGGUGAGUAACACGUGAGUAACCUGCCCUUGACUUUGGGAUAACUUCAGGAAACUGGGGCUAAUACCGGAUAGGAGCUCCUGCUGCAUGGUGGGGGUUGGAAAUUUUCGGCGGUUGGGGAUGGACUCGCGGCUUAUCAGCUUGUUGGUGGGGUAGUGGCUUACCAAGGCUUUGACGGGUAGCCGGCCUGAGAGGGUGACCGGCCACAUUGGGACUGAGAUACGGCCCAGACUCAUACGGGAGGCAGCAGUGGGGAAUAUUGCACAAUGGGCGGAAGCAUGAUGCAGCAACGCCGCGUGCGGGAUGACGGCCUUCGGGGUGUAAACCGCUUUCGCCUGUGAAGAAGAGUGAGUGACGGUAAUGGGUAAAGAAGCACCGGCUAACUACGUG